GUGGGGAAUAUUGGACAAUGGGCGAAAGCCUGAUCCAGCCAUGCCGCGUGUGUGAAGAAGGUCUUCGGAUUGUAAAGCACUUUAAGUUGGGAGGAAGGGCAGUAAGUUAAUACCUUGCUGUUUUGACGUUACCGACAGAAUAAGCACCGGCUAACUUCGUGCCAGCAGCCGCGGUAAUACGAAGGGUGCAAGAGUUAAUCGGAAUUACUGGGCGUAAAGCGCGCGUAGGUGGUUUUGUAAGUUGGAGGUGAAAUCCCCGGGCUCAAACUGGGAACUGCCUCCAAAACUGCAUGACUAGAGUGCGGUAGAGGGUAGUGGAAUUUCCUGUGUAGCGGUGAAAUGCGUAGAUAUAGGAAGGAACACCAGUGGCGAAGGCGACUACCUGGACUGAUACUGACACUGAGGUGCGAAAGCGUGGGGAGCAAACAGGAUUAGAUACCCCAGUAGUCC
Molecule: ribosomal RNA, 450 nt
Filed under: uncultured bacterium
Lineage: Bacteria
Description: partial 16S ribosomal RNA
Rfam family: Bacterial small subunit ribosomal RNA
Source: RNAcentral